GACGAACGCUGGCGGCGUGCUUAACACAUGCAAGUCGAACGGAGCUAUUUAUUUCGGUAGAUAGCUUAGUGGCAAACGGGUGAGUAACGCGUAGGCAACCUGCCCUCAGGAUGGGGACAACGGCUCGAAAGAGCCGCUAAUACCGAAUGACGUAACUCUUCCACAUGGAAGAGAUACUAAAGAUGGGUCAAACCAUCGCCUAAGGAUGGGCCUGCGUCUGAUUAGCCAGUUGGUGAGGUAACGGCUCACCAAAGCGACGAUCAGUAGCCGGUCUGAGAGGAUGAACGGCCACAAUGGGACUGAGACACGGCCCAUACUCCUACGGGAGGCAGCAGUGGGGAAUCUUCCGCAAUGGGCGAAAGCCUGACGGAGCAACGCCGCGUGAGUGAAGAAGGUCUUCGGAUCGUAAAGCUCUGUUGUCGGGGACGAAAGAGUAGACGAGGAAAUGCGUCUACUA
This 457-nucleotide ribosomal RNA is filed under the name Veillonellaceae bacterium oral taxon 155. RNAcentral's name for it is "bacterial SSU rRNA". It matches the Rfam family "Bacterial small subunit ribosomal RNA", at positions 28 to 475 of the family's 1533-position model. The record is from RNAcentral. Lineage: Bacteria; Bacillati; Bacillota; Negativicutes; Veillonellales; Veillonellaceae.